CUCAACCAUGGCUGCAUGUUGGAAUCACUUGGGAGAUGUAAAACCUACUGAUGUUUGGGUCCCACCCUAGAGAUGCUGAUAAACCCAGAUGGGGAAAUAGGUCUAGAAAGAUGAAGAGAUGUGUCCUCAACAUUUAGAAGUAAAAUUAGAACAUAGGGGAAGUUACCUGACAUGUCUGCGAGGACACUCAAGCAGCCUUAUGGAGAGGCCAUGUGGCGAAGGUCUGAGGCCUCCUGUCAACAGCUUGGUGAGGGCGCCAUCUUGGAAACAGAUCCUCCAGCUCCAGGCAAGCCCUCAGAUGACUGUAGUCCUGAUUGACAUCUUGAUUUCAACCUCAUGGGAAUCCCUGAGCCAGAGCCAUCCAGCUCAGUCACGCCUUAACUCCUGAUCCACAGAACUGGC
RNAcentral lists this long non-coding RNA (402 nucleotides) under Equus caballus (horse). RNAcentral's name for it is "lncRNA (ENSECAG00000055614.1)". Lineage: Eukaryota; Metazoa; Chordata; Mammalia; Perissodactyla; Equidae. The record is from RNAcentral.